ACUCUCUGUCUGUUACUGACGCUGAGGCUCGAAGCGUGGGGAGCAAACAGGAUUAGAUACCUGGUAGUCCACGCCGUAAACGAUGAGUGCUAAGUGUUAGGGGGUUCCGCCCUUUAGUGCUGCAGCUAACGCAUUAAGCACUCCGCUGGGGAGUACGACCGCAAGGUUGAAACUCAAAGGAAUUGACGGGGGCCCGCACAAGCGGUGGAGCAUGUGGUUUAAUUCGAAGCAACGCGAAGAACCUUACCAGGUCUUGACAUCCUUUGACCACUUUAGAGAUAAAGCUUUCCCUUCGGGGACAAAGUGACAGGUGGUGCAUGGUUGUCGUCAGCUCGUGUCGUGAGAUGUUGGGUUAAGUCCCGCAACGAGCGCAACCCUUAUUGUUAGUUGCCAUCAUUCAGUUGGGCACUCUAGCGAAACUGCCGGUGACAAACCGGAGGAAGGUGGGGAUGACGUCAAAUCAUCAUGCCCCUUAUGACCUGGGCUACACACGUGCUACAAUGGACAGUACAAUGAGCAGCGACACGGCGACGUGAAGCGAAUCUCAUAAAGCUGUUCUCAGUUCGGAUUGUAGGCUGCAACUCGCCUACAUGAAGCCGGAAUCGCUAGUAAUCGCGGAUCAGCACGCCGCGGUGAAUACGUUCCCGGGCCUUGUACACACCGCCCGUCACACCACGAAAGUUUGUAACACCCAAAGUCGGUGAGGUAACCUUCGGGAGCCAGCCGCCUAAGGUGGGAUAGAUGAUUGGGGUGAAGUCGUAACAAGGUAACCA
Molecule: ribosomal RNA, 773 nt
Filed under: uncultured Vagococcus sp.
Lineage: Bacteria; Bacillati; Bacillota; Bacilli; Lactobacillales; Enterococcaceae
Description: bacterial SSU rRNA
Rfam family: Bacterial small subunit ribosomal RNA
Source: RNAcentral